Molecule: ribosomal RNA, 588 nt
Filed under: uncultured bacterium
Lineage: Bacteria
Description: bacterial SSU rRNA
Rfam family: Bacterial small subunit ribosomal RNA
Source: RNAcentral
CGAUGGAUCCGCGUCCGAUUAGCCAGUUGGCGGGGUAGAAGCCCACCAAAGCGACGAUCGGUAGCCGGCCUGAGAGGGCGGACGGCCACAUUGGGACUGAGACACGGCCCAAACUCCUACGGGAGGCAGCAGUGGGGAAUAUUGCACAAUGGGGGGAACCCUGAUGCAGCGACGCCGCGUGGGUGAAGGAGUACUUCGGUACGUAAAGCCCUAUCAGCAGGAAAGAAAAUGACGGUACCUGACUAAGAAGCCCCGGCUAACUACGUGCCAGCAGCCGCGGUAAUACGUAGGGGGCAAGCGUUAUCCGGAUUUACUGGGUGUAAAGGGAGCGUAGACGGCAGUGCAAGUCCGGAGUGAAAGCCCGGGGCUCAACCCUGGGACUGCUCUGGAAACUGUAAGGCUGGAGUGCGGGAGGGGCAGGCGGAAUUCCUGGUGUAGCGGUGAAAUGCGUAGAUAUCAGGAGGAACACCGGCGGCGAAGGCGGCCUGCUGGACCGUAACUGACGUUGAGGCUCGAAAGCGUGGGGAGCAAACAGGAUUAGAUACCCUGGUAGUCCACGCCGUAAACGAUGAUUACUAGGUGUCGCGG